UACGGAGAGAGCUAGCGUUGUUCGGAAUUACUGGGCGUAAAGCGCACGUAGGCGGCUUUGUAAGUUAGAGGUGAAAGCCCGGAGCUCAACUCCGGAAUUGCCUUUAAGACUGCAUCGCUUGAAUCCGGGAGAGGUGAGUGGAAUUCCGAGUGUAGAGGUGAAAUUCGUAGAUAUUCGGAAGAACACCAGUGGCGAAGGCGGCUCACUGGACCGGUAUUGACGCUGAGGUGCGAAAAGCGUGGGGGAGGCAAA
Molecule: ribosomal RNA, 252 nt
Filed under: uncultured bacterium
Lineage: Bacteria
Description: partial 16S ribosomal RNA
Rfam family: Bacterial small subunit ribosomal RNA
Source: RNAcentral